GAUGAACGCUAGCGGCAGGCUUAAUACAUGCAAGUCGAGGGGCAGCGGGAGUAGCAAUACUUGCCGGCGACCGGCGCACGGGCGCGUAACACGUAUGUAAUCUGCCCAUCACAGGAGGAUAGCCCGGAGAAAUUCGGAUUAAUACUCCAUAAUAGAAGAUAAAGCAUUUUAUUUUCUUGAAAGUUCCGACGGUGAUGGAUGAACAUGCGACUGAUUAGUUUGUUGGUGAGGUAACGGCUCACCAAGGCGACGAUCAGUAGGGGGCCUGAGAGGGUUAUCCCCCACACUGGUACUGAGACACGGACCAGACUCCUACGGGAGGCAGCAGUGAGGAAUAUUGGUCAAUGGAGGCAACUCUGAACCAGCCAUGCCGCGUGUAGGAAGAAUGCCCUAUGGGUUGUAAACUACUUUUAUUGGGGAAGAAACCCUUCUACGUGUAGAAGGCUGACGGUACCCAAGGAAUAAGGACCGGCUAACUCCGUGCCAGCAGCCGCGGUAAUGUG
Molecule: ribosomal RNA, 503 nt
Filed under: uncultured bacterium
Lineage: Bacteria
Description: bacterial SSU rRNA
Rfam family: Bacterial small subunit ribosomal RNA
Source: RNAcentral